Molecule: transfer RNA, 76 nt
Filed under: Alphaproteobacteria bacterium MarineAlpha4_Bin2
Lineage: Bacteria; Pseudomonadati; Pseudomonadota; Alphaproteobacteria
Description: tRNA-Lys
Rfam family: tRNA
About the family: Transfer RNA (tRNA) molecules are approximately 80 nucleotides in length. Their secondary structure includes four short double-helical elements and three loops (D, anti-codon, and T loops).
Source: RNAcentral
GGGCCCGUAGCUCAGUUGGUAGAGCACCUGACUUUUAAUCAGGGUGUCACAGGUUCGAAACCUGUCGGGCCUACCA